Molecule: ribosomal RNA, 1415 nt
Filed under: uncultured Bordetella sp.
Lineage: Bacteria; Pseudomonadati; Pseudomonadota; Betaproteobacteria; Burkholderiales; Alcaligenaceae
Description: partial 16S-23S ribosomal RNA intergenic spacer
Rfam family: Bacterial small subunit ribosomal RNA
Source: RNAcentral
AGUCGAACGGCAGCACGGACUUCGGUCUGGUGGCAGUGGCGAACGGGUGAGUAAUGUAUCGGAACGUGCCAAGUGGCGGGGGAUAACUACGCGAAAGCGUAGCUAAUACCAUACGCCCUUCCCAGGGAAAGCGGGGGACCUUCGGGCCUCGCACUAUUAGAGCGGCCGAUAUCGGAUUAGCUAGUUGGUGGGGUAACGGCUCGCAAGGCGACGAUCCGUAGCUGGUUUGAGAGAGGACGACCUUCACACUGGGACUGGAGACACGGCCCAGACUCCUACGGGAGGCAGCAGUGGGGGAAUUUUGGACAAUGGAAACCUGAUCCAGCCAUCCCCGCGUGUGCGAUGAAGACCUUCCGGGUUGUAAAGCACUUUUGGCAGGAAAGAAACGGCGGGAUAAUACCCCGUGCAACUAACGGUACCUGCAGAAUAAAGCACCGGCUAACUACGUGCCAGCAGCCGCCCGAUACGUAGAUUUCCGCGGCGUUAAUCGGAAUUACUGGGCGUAAAGCGUGCGCAGGCGGUUCGGAAAGAAAGAUGUAGGGAAAUCCAGGCUUAGCUUUGGAACUGCAUUUUUAACUGCCGAGCUAGAGUGUCAGAGAGGGAGUGGAAUUCCGCGUGUAGCAGUGAAAUGCGUAGAUAUGCGGAGGAACACCGAUGGCGAAGGCGGCCUCCUGGGAUAGCGCAGCUGCAGCGUGGGGAGCAAACAGGAUUUAGAUACCUGGUAGUCCACGCCUAAACGAUGUCAACUAGCUGUUGGGGCCUUCGGGCCUUGGUGGCGCAGCUAAGCGUGGUUGACCGCCUGGGAGUACGGUCGCAAGAUUAAAAACUCAAGGAAUUGGCAGGGACCCGCACAAGCGGUGGAUGAUGUGGAUUAAUUCGAUGCGCGCGAAAACGCACUACGCCGACCUUCUGCAGAUCCCGAAGAGAUUUGGGAGUACUCGCAAAGAGAACCGGAACACAGGUGCUGCAUGGCUGUCGUCAGCUCGUGUCGUGAGAUGUUGGGUUAAGUCCGCAACGAGCGCAACCUUGUCAUUAGUUGCUACGAAAGGGCACUCUAAUGAGACUGCCGGUGACAAACCGGAGGAAGAUUAAGAGGGAUGACGUCAAGUCCUCAUGGCCCUUAUGGGUAGGGCUUCACACGUCAUACAAUGGUCAGGACAGAGGGUCGCCAGCCCGCGAGGGAGCCAAUCAGAAACCCGAUCGUAGUCCGGAUCACCGGUCUGCAACUCGACUGCGUGCGAUCGGAAUCGCUAGUAAUCGCGGAUCAGCAUGUCACGGUGAAUACGUUCCCAGGUCUUUGGCUACCGCCCGUCACACCAUGGGAGUGGGUUUUACCAGAAGUAGUUAGCCUAACCGUAAAGGAGGGCGAUUACCACGGUAGGAUUCAUGACUGGGGUGAAGUCGUAACAAGGUAG